This 78-nucleotide non-coding RNA is filed under the name Vagococcus teuberi. RNAcentral describes it as "Fluoride sequence". It matches the Rfam family "Fluoride riboswitch aptamer (crcB RNA motif)". The record is from Rfam by way of RNAcentral. Lineage: Bacteria; Bacillati; Bacillota; Bacilli; Lactobacillales; Enterococcaceae.
AACUUAAACGGGAAUGAUGUUCUCCCAUAGUUGAAAUUUAACUAAAACUGCUAAAUAGCUAAUGACGUCUACAUGCUU